AGUGAACGCUGGCGGUAGGCCUAACACAUGCAAGUCGAACGGCAGCACAGUAAGGGCUUGCUCUUACGGGUGGCGAGUGGCGGACGGGUGAGGAAUACAUCGGAAUCUACUUUUUCGUGGGGGAUAACGUAGGGAAACUUACGCUAAUACCGCAUACGACCUACGGGUGAAAGCAGGGGAUCUUCGGACCUUGCGCGAUUGAAUGAGCCGAUGUCGGAUUAGCUAGUUGGCGGGGUAAAGGCCCACCAAGGCGACGAUCCGUAGCUGGUCUGAGAGGAUGAUCAGCCACACUGGAACUGAGACACGGUCCAGACUCCUACGGGAGGCAGCAGUGGGGAAUAUUGGACAAAGGGCGCAAGCCUGAUCCAGCCAUACCGCGUGGGUGAAGAAGGCCUUCGGGUUGUAAAGCCCUUUUGUUGGGAAAGAAAAGCAGCAGGUUAAUACCCCGCUGUUCUGACGGUACCCAAAGAAUAAGCACCGGCUAACUUCGUG
This 492-nucleotide ribosomal RNA is filed under the name uncultured bacterium. RNAcentral's name for it is "partial 16S ribosomal RNA". It matches the Rfam family "Bacterial small subunit ribosomal RNA", at positions 29 to 507 of the family's 1533-position model. The record is from RNAcentral.